AUCCGACUGACGAGUCCCAACUGGGACGAAACGCGCGUCCUGGAU
Molecule: non-coding RNA, 45 nt
Organism: Schistosoma margrebowiei
Lineage: Eukaryota; Metazoa; Platyhelminthes; Trematoda; Strigeidida; Schistosomatidae
Source: Rfam